Molecule: small nucleolar RNA, 91 nt
Organism: Mastomys coucha (southern multimammate mouse)
Lineage: Eukaryota; Metazoa; Chordata; Mammalia; Rodentia; Muridae
Product: small nucleolar RNA SNORD91 family
Exons: 1
Source: RefSeq, a predicted model, not a curated record
CUUAGGAGCCAAUGAUGUUUUUAUUCACAAUGUCUGAACCUGACUGAAGCAUCGCAGUGAUGUAAGCUGUUGUGCUGAGGCUCCUCUGCUA